GUGCUCGCUUUGGUAGCGCGUAUAUUAAAAUUGGAACAAUACAGAGAAGAUUAGCCCCUGGGCAAGGAUGAUACAGACAUUCAUGAGGCAUUCCUUUUUUUA
Small nuclear RNA from Phacochoerus africanus (Common warthog), 102 nucleotides. The record is from RefSeq and is a predicted model, not a curated record. Lineage: Eukaryota; Metazoa; Chordata; Mammalia; Artiodactyla; Suidae.